RNAcentral lists this ribosomal RNA (330 nucleotides) under uncultured bacterium. RNAcentral describes it as "bacterial SSU rRNA". It matches the Rfam family "Bacterial small subunit ribosomal RNA", at positions 568 to 898 of the family's 1533-position model. The record is from RNAcentral.
UCCGUAGGCGGUGUGGCAAGUCGGAAGUGAAAUCUCUGGGCUUAACUCAGAGGCUGCUUCCGAAACUGCCGUGCUAGAGUGCGAGAGAGGCAAGUGGAAUUGCGGGUGUAGUGGUGAAAUGCGUAGAUAUCCGCAGGAACAUCCGAGGCGAAAGCGGCUUGCUGGAUCGCAACUGACGCUGAGGGACGAAAGCUAGGGGAGCAAACAGGAUUAGAUACCCUGGUAGUCCUAGCCCUAAACCAUCAGGACUUGGGGUUUGCCCUGUACGGGGCAAGUCCCGUAGCUAACGCGUUAAGUCCUGCGCCUGGGGAGUACGGUCGCAAGGCUGAA